This 763-nucleotide ribosomal RNA is filed under the name uncultured bacterium. RNAcentral's name for it is "bacterial SSU rRNA". It matches the Rfam family "Bacterial small subunit ribosomal RNA", at positions 20 to 825 of the family's 1533-position model. The record is from RNAcentral.
UGGCUCAGGAUGAACGCUGGCGGUAUGCUUUACACAUGCAAGUCGUACGAGAGUUUUUAACUCAAGUGGCGGACGGGUGAGUAACACGUAAGAAUUUGCCUUUAGAAGGGGGACAACAACUGGAAACGGUUGCUAAUACCCCAUAUGCUUUCGAGUGAAACGGUUUUUCCGCCUAAAGAGAAGCUUGCGGCUGAUUAGCUUGUUGGUAGGGUAAUGGCUUACCAAGGCGACGAUCAGUAUCUGGUUUGAGAGGACGAUCAGACACACUGGAACUGAGACACGGUCCAGACUCCUACGGGAGGCAGCAGUGGGGAAUUUUCCGCAAUGGGCGAAAGCCUGACGGAGCAAUACCGCGUGAGGGAUGAAUGCCUAUGGGUUGUAAACCUCUUUUUUCAGGGAGGAAUCAAUGACGUUACCUGAAGAAUAAGCAUCGGCUAACUCCGUGCCAGCAGCCGCGGUAAGACGGAGGAUGCAAGUGUUAUCCGGAAUCACUGGGCGUAAAGCGUCUGUAGGUGGUUUGAUAAGUCAACUGUUAAAUCUUGAGGCUCAACCUCAAAACCGCAGUCGAAACUAUUAGACUAGAGUAUAGUAGGGGUAAAGGGAAUUUCCAGUGGAGCGGUGAAAUGCGUAGAGAUUGGAAAGAACACCGAUGGCGAAGGCACUUUACUGGGCUAUUACUAACACUGAGAGACGAAAGCUAGGGUAGCAAAUGGGAUUAGAUACCCCAGUAGUCCUAGCUGUAAACAAUGGAUACUAGAUGUUG